UUCGCGAUAGAUCAGUUGGUUAGGAAGCCUAACACGCUUAAGGUCGCGGGUUCAAGCCCCGCUCGCUGUAA
RNAcentral lists this transfer RNA (71 nucleotides) under Naegleria gruberi. RNAcentral's name for it is "tRNA-Leu". Lineage: Eukaryota; Heterolobosea; Eutetramitea; Acrasida; Naegleriidae. The record is from RNAcentral.